This is a non-coding RNA of Pantherophis guttatus, 437 nucleotides long. Lineage: Eukaryota; Metazoa; Chordata; Lepidosauria; Squamata; Colubridae. The record is from RefSeq and is a predicted model, not a curated record.
UAGAGUGUUUGGAAAAUCUCUUGAAUAUUGGAACAGUCUUGAAGAGAAUGUGCCAAAUGUUCUGCCACACUACUGGAUACCUGUACACAGAACAGGACGGUCAGAUGCUGAAGAUUCUGAUCUCGUCUUUGAAAGCUUCACUCUCUCUGCAAUCUAGAAACAGUCAAGGAAUAAAACCAAGAUAGAGCUGCUCAUCUCGGUUCUCUUAGGAAGCCGCAUGCAUUAUCAAUGUCUGGGAUGGCAGCACGGAAAAUGUUGGAGACCUGUUUUUUUGCAAAGUUUUAAAAGAAAUGGCUCUUCCACUUUAGCAUUUUGUCACUAAUCAAUUGACAGCUGGCUUCUUUUGACAAAGAGUUGUUACUGCGAAAACUUUGAAGUUCUGAAGAGCACUAAAUCUGCUGUCUCUGAACAGAUAAUCAUGCCUGGAGCAGUUGAGU